AGUAGAGUGGCGGACGGGUGAGUAACGCGUGGGAAUCUACCCAGUAGUGGGGGACAACUACCGGAAACGGUAGCUAAUACCGCAUACGCCCUAUGGGGGAAAGGCUUCGGCCGCUAUUGGAUGAGCCCGCGUCAGAUUAGCUAGUUGGUAGGGUAAAGGCCUACCAAGGCAACGAUCUGUAGCUGGUCUGAGAGGACGAACAGCCACACUGGGACUGAGACACGGCCCAGACUCCUACGGGAGGCAGCAGUGGAGAAUAUUGGACAAUGGGCGAAAGCCUGAUCCAGCAAUGCCGCGUGUGUGAAGAAGGCCUGCGGGUUGUAAAGCACUUUCAGUUGGGAAGAUGAUGACGUUACCAACAGAAGAAGCACCGGCUAAAUCCGUGCCAGCAGCCGCGGUAAUACGGAUGGUGCGAGCGUUAAUCGGAAUUACUGGGCGUAAAGCGCGCGUAGGCGGCUAAGUCAGUCAGAAGUGAAAGCCCCGGGCUCAACCUGGGAAUUGCUUUUGAUACUGCUUAGCUAGAGUUUGGUAGAGGAUAGUGGAAUUCCAGGUGUAGCGGUGAAAUGCGUAGAUAUCUGGAGGAACAUCAGUGGCGAAGACGACUGUCUGGACCAAAACUGACGCUGAGGUGCGAAAGCGUGGGUAGCAAACAGGAUUAGAUACCCUGGUAG
RNAcentral lists this ribosomal RNA (671 nucleotides) under uncultured Gammaproteobacteria bacterium. Its description in RNAcentral is "bacterial SSU rRNA". It matches the Rfam family "Bacterial small subunit ribosomal RNA", at positions 89 to 793 of the family's 1533-position model. Lineage: Bacteria; Pseudomonadati; Pseudomonadota; Gammaproteobacteria. The record is from RNAcentral.